CAAGAGCAUAUAUUAAAGUUGUUGCAGUUAAAAAGCUCGUAGUUGGAUUUCUGGUAUAAUGCGCCUGGCCCGCGGCUAUUUAAGCCUGUGAGUGCCGGUGUGCGUUUGCCAUCCUUCUAGAAAACGUUUCUACCCUUCACUGGGCCGGACUCGCGAUCUAGAUCUUUUACUUUGAAAAAAUUAGAGUGUUUAAAGCAGGCUUUUGCUAUGAAUACAUUAGCAUGGAAUAAUAAUCUAGGACUUCGGUUCUAUUUUGUUUGGUUUCUUAGUACUGAAGUAAUGAUUGAUAGGGAGUAGUUGGGGGUUGGCUAGUAUUGGUCCGGCCGAGAGGUGAAAUUCUUGGAUUCGGUCAAGACUAACUUAUGCGAAAGCAUUCACCAAGGAUGUCUUCUUUUAAUUCAAGAACGAAAGUUAGGGGGAGUCGAAGACGAUUAGAUACCGU
RNAcentral lists this ribosomal RNA (442 nucleotides) under uncultured eukaryote. RNAcentral describes it as "SSU rRNA". It matches the Rfam family "Eukaryotic small subunit ribosomal RNA", at positions 592 to 1018 of the family's 1831-position model. The record is from RNAcentral.